AGGUUAAGUUAUAAAGGGCGCACGGUGGAUGCCUUGGCACUAGGAGCCGAUGAAGGACGGGACUAACACCGAUAUGCUUCGGGGAGCUGUAAGUAAGCUUUGAUCCGGAGAUUUCCGAAUGGGGAAACCCAAUCAGUUUAACCGCUGAUUAUCACUAGGGGAAUACAUACUCUAGUUGAAGGUAGACGUUGUGAACUGAAACAUCUAAGUAGCAACAGGAGCAGAAAGAAAAAUCGAUUCCCUAAGUAGCGGCGAGCGAACGGGGAACAGCCCAAACCAAGCUGCUUGCAGUUUGGGGGUUGUAGGACUGAACAUUUGAGUUACCAAAGACCUUGAUAGUCGAAGACGUUGGGAAACGUCGCCAUAGGGUGUGAGAGCCACGUAGA
RNAcentral lists this ribosomal RNA (386 nucleotides) under Furfurilactobacillus rossiae. Its description in RNAcentral is "bacterial LSU rRNA". It matches the Rfam family "Bacterial large subunit ribosomal RNA", at positions 1 to 379 of the family's 2925-position model. Lineage: Bacteria; Bacillati; Bacillota; Bacilli; Lactobacillales; Lactobacillaceae. The record is from RNAcentral.